Molecule: unclassified non-coding RNA, 391 nt
Filed under: soil metagenome
Description: partial contains 5.8S ribosomal RNA, internal transcribed spacer 2, and large subunit ribosomal RNA
Rfam family: 5.8S ribosomal RNA (bases 1-122)
Source: RNAcentral
GAUGAAGAACGUAGCGAAAUGCGAUACUUGGUGUGAAUUGCAGAAUCCCGUGAACCAUCGAGUCUUUGAACGCAAGUUGCGCCCGAAGCCAUUAGGCCGAGGGCACGCCUGCCUGGGCGUCACACGUCGUUGCCCCCCCAUCUACUCCUUCGGGAUUGCGGGGGGCGGAUGAUGGCCUCCCGUGCGCCUCGUCGUGCGGUUGGCAUAAAUGCCAAGUCCUCGGCGACGCACGCCACGACAAUCGGUGGUUGCGAAACCUCGGUUGCCCGUCGUGUGCGGUCGUCGCGCAUCGAGGGCUCGAAAAAAUUGCCGGGCACUGUUUCGGCUUUCAACGCGACCCCAGGUCAGGCGGGGUUACCCGCUGAAUUUAAGCAUAUCAAUAAGCGGAGGA